UACGUAGGGUGCAAGCGUUGUCCGGAAUUAUUGGGCGUAAAGAGCUCGUAGGCGGUUAGUCGCGUCUGCUGUGAAAACUCGGGGCUUAACUCCGGGCCUGCAGUGGGUACGGGCUGACUAGAGUGCGGUAGGGGAGACUGGAAUUCCUGGUGUAGCGGUGAAAUGCGCAGAUAUCAGGAGGAACACCGGUGGCGAAGGCGGGAUCCUGGGCCAGUACUGACGCUGAGGAGCGAAAGCGUGGGGAGCAAACAGG
Molecule: ribosomal RNA, 253 nt
Filed under: uncultured bacterium
Lineage: Bacteria
Description: partial 16S ribosomal RNA
Rfam family: Bacterial small subunit ribosomal RNA
Source: RNAcentral